UGCAAGUCGAGCGGUAACAUAUCUAGCUUGCUCGAUGCUGACGAGCGGCGGACGGGUGAGUAAUGCGUAGGAAUCUGCCCGGUAGUGGGGGAUAACCUGGGGAAACCCAGGCUAAUACCGCAUACGUCCUACGGGAGAAAGGGGGCUUCGGCUCCCGCUAUUGGAUGAGCCUAUGUCGGAUUAGCUAGUUGGUGAGGUAAAGGCUCACCAAGGCAACGAUCCGUAGCUGGUCUGAGAGGAUGAUCAGCCACAUCGGGACUGAGACACGGCCCGAACUCCUACGGGAGGCAGCAGUGGGGAAUAUUGGACAAUGGGGGCAACCCUGAUCCAGCCAUGCCGCGUGUGUGAAGAAGGCCCUCGGGUUGUAAAGCACUUUCAGCGAGGAAGAACGCCUAUCGGUUAAUACCCGUUAGGAAAGACAUCACUCGCAGAAGAAGCACCGGCUAACUCCGUGCCAGCAGCCGCGGUAAUACGGAGGGUGCAAGCGUUAAUCGGAAUUACUGGGCGUAAAGCGCGCGUAGGUGGCUUGAUAAGCCGGUUGUGAAAGCCCCGGGCUCAACCUGGGAACGGCAUCCGGAACUGUCAGGCUAGAGUGCAGGACAGGAAGGUAGAAUUCCCGGUGUAGCGGUGAAAUGCGUAGAGAUCGGGAGGAAUACCAG
RNAcentral lists this ribosomal RNA (659 nucleotides) under Halomonas sp. ZD02. Its description in RNAcentral is "bacterial SSU rRNA". It matches the Rfam family "Bacterial small subunit ribosomal RNA", at positions 56 to 712 of the family's 1533-position model. The record is from RNAcentral. Lineage: Bacteria; Pseudomonadati; Pseudomonadota; Gammaproteobacteria; Oceanospirillales; Halomonadaceae.